Neocloeon triangulifer is the source of this 1587-nucleotide long non-coding RNA. RefSeq lists it as uncharacterized. The record is from RefSeq and is a predicted model, not a curated record. The transcript has 3 exons. Lineage: Eukaryota; Metazoa; Arthropoda; Insecta; Ephemeroptera; Baetidae.
GAAUUUUCUCACAGUCCAACGGUCAAACGGUGAAACUCCAGCUUCCAGUAAUAUCAUCCCGAUUGCGGCAGUGAGAUCGACUCGGUUCUCAUCAAAAGCAACACACGCGAGAAUCCUUCACCAAAAGACUAACUGCCCCAGAGAGACGCGGCGCUGAGCGUGUUCCGGAACACAAAUUUUACUUUCAGGCCUGAAAGUAAAAUUGCUCCAUUGUUCAAUGAGUUCAAUCUAGCUGAGGUGGUGGUUCGUUUUUGACACACAGAGAAGAUAUCUUUAAGAUCGAAACAUGAAAGACUGCAAACUCUGUUUCAUAGUUUACCCUGGAACCGACUUGGCACCGGCCUUGCAGGAACAGUUUUCAUGGAAUCGUUGAUGGAGGCAAGGCUUUGAUCCACCCAAAAAGGGCUGACUGGGCGAAAAGGGGGGCAAGGAAAAAUUGCUUACCCCUGACGGAGAAACAACCAAUAUCUUCAAAAUGGUGAAGGUCAGCGUGGAUGAAAUAGAUGGAGGAACAACCAGGAAGAUCACUCAUAUUGGACUCCAGGGAUACUACGAAGGAGCAUCUGGAACCCAAUCAGAUAUGUUCAUUCCCAACUGGUAUUUUACCAACCUCAACCUUCAGAAAGGUGACCAAGUUCAGCUCUCCGUAAUCACGAAGCCCUUGCCACAGGCCACUCUUCUUGCAUUCAACUCACAAGUUGAAGUUGAAGAGCGAGCUCGCCAGAAAGGCCAUUAAGAAUUUCCUGAGGAAAAUCGUAGUGGUCAGCCAGGAAGAUUCAAUGGUCCUUGAUGUCGGAGGGGUCCAAUUUGAAGUGGUCGAAACUCGUCCUAAGAAAUUCGUCAGGAUUGGCAACUUUGCCGAUGAGCCUCCGUUCGAGCUAAUAGUAAUUCACGUUGACGGAGGAGGUAUUCAGCUGAUAGAGCAAGGUGAUCCCUGAGGACGAGGACAACAAUGAGUCUGAUGAGGUAGAAAUCGAGGAGGAGGAGCAGGCAGAUGACCAGCUGGUCGUCAAUGAGGAGACAGAUGAUGACUUCGUUGCGAAUGAGGAGGAAGAUGUGGUUGAGGAAGAGGAACAGGCAGAUGAUGACUUCGUUACGAAUGAGAUUAAGGAAGAUGUGGUCGAGGAGGAGGAACAGGCAAAUGAUGACUUCGUUGCGAAUGAGGAGGAUGUUUUUGCCAGGGUGGAGGAUUCUGACGCUGAUUCUGACGUGGAUGAAGUUUUGCAGAAGCCAAAGGAAGUGGAAAAGGGAAACCAAGAAACGAGCCUGAAGAAGAAACGAGGAGAUGAAGAGGUCCAGGAACCAGACCUUGAAAUGGUUCGUGAGAAGAGGUUGACGAAGUUCAUGAACUAACAUUGCCAAACAGAAUUUUUCGGAAUUUUUGUCAUUAACUACCCCAUUCGCAAUAACAUAUUUUAUUUAUUAAAUAUCGUCAUGCAGUUCUUAUUUUAUAACUAAUCAAAAGAAAAAACGGAUCACAACUUAAAAAAAUUUUGACAAAUAAUAUACAAAAUGACCAUAAUAUAAAGAACCAAAAUAAUUGUAAAUUUGAAAUGAGAAUUAAUAAACGUUCAUUUGAUUUUUCUU